GGCUGGGAAUAUGGCCUAGUGGUAAAGUGCUCGCCUUAAAACAGGUAUGUAACUUAAGAAAGCAUGCACUUUAAGUAGUAGCAUAUCACUAGAAAUGAUAAAUUCCCCAAAUUCUACCUAUUUUAAUUAUCUGUGGGAAAACGAUUUGGCAGGGACUUUCAUCUAAGCAUAAAGCCAAUGUAAGAUUCAGGAAUACCUGAAAUUUGCUUACUUGUUGUACCCAACUUUUCAGUGUUUUUUUUUUUUUUUAAUUGAAUAGCAGCCUUCAUUGUAGCAUUACUUAAGGUCUCAGCAGUUUCAGCCCUUCAUCUAGCUCAGGAUAGUAGUCCUCCUAACAUCCGUAAUAGCCACCCUAAUUCCAUAUGAUUAUGAUAAUAGAAGCAAAAGUGUUACUUUAAA
Molecule: long non-coding RNA, 399 nt
Organism: Perognathus longimembris pacificus (Pacific pocket mouse)
Lineage: Eukaryota; Metazoa; Chordata; Mammalia; Rodentia; Heteromyidae
Exons: 2
Source: RefSeq, a predicted model, not a curated record